UGGGGAACUCUGGGGAGACUGCCGGUGAUAAACCGGAGGAAGGCGGGGAUGACGUCAAGUCCUCAUGGCCCUUACAUCCCGGGCUACACACGUGCUACAAUGGCAGGUACAGAGGGCUGCGAAGCCGCGAGGUGGAGCGAAUCCCAGAAAACCUGUCUCAGUCCGGAUUGAAGUCUGCAACUCGACUUCAUGAAGGCGGAAUCGCUAGUAACCGCGAAUCAGCAGGUCGCGGUGAAUACGUUCCCGGGCCUU
This 252-nucleotide ribosomal RNA is filed under the name uncultured Latescibacterota bacterium. Its description in RNAcentral is "uncultured Latescibacteria bacterium partial 16S ribosomal RNA". It matches the Rfam family "Bacterial small subunit ribosomal RNA", at positions 1131 to 1382 of the family's 1533-position model. The record is from RNAcentral. Lineage: Bacteria; Pseudomonadati; Candidatus Latescibacterota.